RNAcentral lists this ribosomal RNA (468 nucleotides) under uncultured bacterium. RNAcentral's name for it is "bacterial SSU rRNA". It matches the Rfam family "Bacterial small subunit ribosomal RNA", at positions 772 to 1233 of the family's 1533-position model. The record is from RNAcentral.
ACUAAAUAGAUACCCUGGUAGUCCACGCCGUAAACGUUGUGCGCUAGGUGUAGGAGGUAUCGACCCCUCCUGUGCCGGAGCUAAACGCAUUAAGCGCACCGCCUGGGGAGUACGCCCGCAAGGGUGAAACUCAAAGGAAUUGACGGGGGCCCGCACAAGCGGUGGAGCAUGUGGUUUAAAAUUCGAGGCAACGCGAAGAACCUUACCCAGGCUUGACAUCCCGCGCUACCCUGUGAAAGCAGGGGUUCUCCUUCGGGGGUACGCGGAGACAGGUGUUGCAUGGCUGUCGUCAGCUCGUGUCGUGAGAUGUUGGGUUAAGUCCCGCAACGAGCGCAACCCCGUGUUCCCAGUUACCAGCGGUUCGGCCGGGCACUCUGGGAAGACUGCCGGUGAUAAGCCGGAGGAAGGUGGGGAUGACGUCAAGUCAUCACGGCCCUUACGCCUGGGGCGACACACGUGCUACAAUGG